This 426-nucleotide ribosomal RNA is filed under the name Triticum aestivum (bread wheat). RNAcentral describes it as "partial small subunit ribosomal RNA". The record is from RNAcentral. Lineage: Eukaryota; Viridiplantae; Streptophyta; Magnoliopsida; Poales; Poaceae.
AUGAGGGUGCAAGAUGGGCUAACCAACGACAACUGGAUUCGUGCGGUGGCCAGCCUCCAGACCCUACACCAGCUGGGAGAAUUUGACACCCUAUGGGAGUGUGUCAAUCAGACUUCCCUUCUACCGAUCCAAGAGGAUGGCAUUUCUUGGAACCUGACCGCUAAUGGAGCUUACGCUUUGGCAUCGGCCUACGCGACACAAUUCUUCGGCUCCCAUCUGAGGUUUGACUAUUCCAAGGCCUGGUUUGCCCAUGUAGAGCGUAAGUGCAAAUUCUUCGUGUGGGUUCUCCUACAUGGAAGAAUCCUCACCGCUGACAGGCUGGCUCUGAGGGGUUGGCCGCACGACCCGAGAUGCCAACUAUGCUUUCAGGAGCCUAAAAUGGCAGCCCACCUUUGCAAGGAUUAUCCCUUCUCGGUCGCGGUCUAG